AGACAAUGGUCACUAAGAAUUUGA
RNAcentral lists this non-coding RNA (24 nucleotides) under Arabidopsis thaliana (thale cress). The record is from RNAcentral. Lineage: Eukaryota; Viridiplantae; Streptophyta; Magnoliopsida; Brassicales; Brassicaceae.